CAGGAACAUAAUUGAGACUCUCUGAACUCUGAGAAAGACUUGAGAGGACACUCCUGCAACAACUGUGGCAAUUCCAUGCAGUUAUAGCAGCAUCUGCAGCGGCGGUUCUCUCUAGUCUUUCUUGGACUUUGGAUGGCUUCUUCUGCAACAUC
This 152-nucleotide microRNA precursor is filed under the name Physcomitrium patens. RNAcentral's name for it is "Physcomitrella patens miR1026b stem-loop (ppt-MIR1026b)". Lineage: Eukaryota; Viridiplantae; Streptophyta; Bryopsida; Funariales; Funariaceae. The record is from miRBase by way of RNAcentral.